Molecule: ribosomal RNA, 292 nt
Filed under: uncultured bacterium
Lineage: Bacteria
Description: partial 16S ribosomal RNA
Rfam family: Bacterial small subunit ribosomal RNA
Source: RNAcentral
GUGCCAGCCGCCGCGGUAAUACGGAGGGUGCAAGCGUUAAUCGGAAUUACUGGGCGUAAAGCGCGCGUAGGCGGUUUGUUAAGUGAGGUGUGAAAGCCCCGGGCUCAACCUGGGAACCGCACUUUAUACUGGCAGGCUAGAGUAUGGUAGAGGUGGGUAGAAUUUCUGGUGUAGCGGUGAAAUGCGUAGAGAUCAGGAGGAAUACCGGUGGCGAAGGCGGCCCACUGGACCAAUACUGACGCUGAGGUGCGAAAGCGUGGGUAGCAAACAGGAUUAGAUACCCUGGUAGUCC